AGGUAGUCAAUUCUACCGUUGGCGGCUCAAUUCCCCCCCAACGGUGUCUCUUCCCCUGCCGGUGGCGCAACCCCUACCGGCAGGGUUCCGGGACAUUCCGGUGCUAUGUCACUGACUGCCGGCAAUGUCCUGUUUCUCUUCCUCUUUCCUCUUUUUUUUAUUCUCAACUGAGGGAAGGUGCGUCUCCUCCGCAACCGGGAGAUUCGCCUCCCCUCCCUCAUCCCUAGGAUCCUUCGGUGAGCACCCUUGGUUCCGCAUCUUCUUCCUCUUGCGGCCCUUCUUUGAGGAGUCCUCCGCCUUCUCGGCUGCCUUCGUUCCUUCUUCUACAAAGGUUUUGAAUGACCAUAGAAAGUGCAAGCCCUCUAACUGAAAAAUUGUGGAUUUGUAUAAAGGACACACACAGACAUUUUGCCGUUUAUAUAUAGAGAUAUAGUGGCAUACGUACACUUUUGCUCACCUUGUAAGUAAGUAUGUAUCUAAAUUCUGUACGACUCUUUUACUCUUUCUUUUAGUCCUCCUCAUACUUUUUUCUUUCUUACUUCUUUUCUUGCUCACAUUUCUUGACUUUCUUUUUCUUUAAUCUCCCCACUUUCCCUCCUCGUUUAUUUCUCUUGUACCUAUCUCUAUGUCUUUUUUUUUUAUUUCCUCUCUUUCUUGAUCUUCCCCUAAUUCUUCAAUCCCUCUGCCCCUACUUCUCUCCUUUCCUUCCACAUGACUGAUGCUCGGCCAAGCAUGAUCUUUAUUUCUUGGUUCGACUGCCGGUCUUGAAGCAUCUGUUAUAUUCCUGUCUCAUUACUUUUAUCUCUUAUGUUCUCCUAUGUGCCUGCCUCAAGGCUUUUAUAAGACACAUGCCAGCUCAACUUGAUUCGUCCUUAUUAGUUGAAAGAUACCUGUUGUUAUUUUCUUGGUGUUUGUAUUUGUAAUUGUGUAACAUGUUCUUCUUUCUUUGUCUUUGUUGUUGUACAAAUUUGCUUGCUUUCUCCCCAAAAAUGUAAUGCUCUUAGCUUAGAUUUUUAGGGUCAGCCAGAUUUGAACAGUCUCAAGUAUAACCAGCCGAAACUGUAAGGAUAAUCUGGAAACUUGACUGAUGAGAGAAGGCUGCGAAUGACCCGUCCUUAUCUUUUCCUGUCCAUCAGUUUGUUGUUUUUCCUUUCCAUCUUUGUAUUGUCUAUCUGUCCGGAUGUUUUAUUGUCACCUGUUGCGUUCUUGUUCCAUUCUUUGGAUUUGUGUGUGUGUGUGUGUUUAUAUUAUGUCCCUGUAACUUAGCUGUUCGGCAACAGAGAUUGAUAGAAUAAGUACAAAGUUUACAAAGAAUAAGCCCUGAGAUCGAUUUCUUCGACUAAAACCCUUUCAGGUGGUGCUCCAGAAAGGCCGCAGUCAAAUGACUGAAGCUAGUAAAAGAGUAAAAGAAUAUAUACCUGUGUGUGUAUGUGUGUGUGUGCGUGCGUGCGCGUGUGUGUGUGUGUGUCUGUGUGUGUGUGUGUGUGUGCGCGCGCGCGCGUGUGUGCUAGGAGUAGUAUGCCCCAGUAACUUGACGCGAUUCGGCAUAAGAGACAUGAAAGCAUAUGAACUACGCUUUAAAAAAUAAGUAUGGGGGCCGAUUCGUGGGACUAUAAACCUUCAAGGCAAUGCCCCAGUAUGGUCGCAGUCCAAUGACUGAAACAAAUAGAAAGAUGAAAGAUGUAAAGACACCAUAAGGUAGAUAUGUAUAUCAUAACCGCUACGGAUAAAGGUAGAUAACUAAAUGAGAACAGAAAGUUAUUUCCCUUGAAUAGUUCGUCUUUGCAAAGAGCAUUCAUCCCUGUUCAAGACAAAAACAGUUACGGCUGAUGUUAAACACGUGAUAGAAUUUAUUAUGAGAAUAUUACAGGGAAGAGGCAAAUUGAUAAAAUAAGAACAAGGAAAGUAAAAUCAGAGUAGCACGAGAUAAUAGUUAAACGGUAAUAAACAUCGCUUUCAUGCGGCUUUUCAAACAUGGUUAGAUCUCCCCACCACAUACAUACGUACGUACGUACAUACAUACAUACAUACAUACAUACAUACAUACAUACAUACAUACAUACAUACAUACAUACAUACAUACAUACAUACAUACAUACAUACAAAAUCCCCGUUGAUAUUGUUGAAAUUCCAAUAAAGGAGCCUGAUUUAGGUUAGAAACUGGCUCUUUCUCUUUGGCAAGAAAUCUUGAAAUAAAGCUGAAUAAUGACAUACAUACAUACAUACACACACACAUAAUUUCCACAUAGACAGAGACGUAGACCGCCUCUACCUAAAACGAAAACAAGGUAGUAGAGGCUUUACAUGGAUCCAAAAUGCCUUUGAAUGUCGUAUCAUAUCCCUUCGGCAACAUCUUUUAACCGCCAAGUCUUGAAGUGCAUCUCUUGACUGAGUUUGCAUACAUGAGACUGAUUACAUCAUAAGACUUGGAAGGCGACUCCUUGAGCAACAUUCCUGGUCUGAUAGCCUAAAAAUACAUGCCCAAAGAAGUCACACAGCUCUACCACAACAUAUCAUCAGAUGAAAGGAUGUGACUAUAUGGGUAGAAGACUACAUAUGGAUAUGUUAGUAGAAAGCUCCGAGAUGGUAGUAACAUUGAUCAUCAAAGCAGUGUAUUAUGGACCAAUAGCCAGAUUACUACCUCCCACUCUGAAGGGUAUGUUUUUGCAAUCCAAGAACAGGAAAUAUCAACCAAAUACCUGAUACACAAAAGGGCUAGAGAUGCAGGAAAAGCAGUAAAAUGUGACAACUGAUGCAGGCUUUGUGGAGUUAUCACUGAAGAUAUCACCCACAUCAGUUGCCUGAAAAUGUCAUCACAGUAUUAUCUACAUAUGAGGCAUGAUGCUGUAGCUGGGACUCUUUAUAAUAAAAUCCGUCAGAAAGAUAACCUUCAGGUCAAACAAAUAAGAAUCCACAAUAUGGUAGAAGCCAUAGCCACUCAUAAUAAAAAGGAGUACUGGUGGAGACCUCAAUAAAAUGUAAAGACCUCAAUAAAAUGUAAGCACAACAGACCUGAUAUAAUGAUUUGGGAUAGAGAAGAGAAACUGUGCACAGUUAUGGAAAUUAGCUGCCCAGCUGACAUUAACAUAAAACUGAAGAUCUGUGAAAAAGAGAAUACCUACACUGAACUAUUUAGAAAUCUGCAGUUACUAAAUCCAGAUUACAAGUUCAGGUUUGUACCUAUAAUUAUUGGGACCCUGGGAUAUGUAACACACUGCCUAAAUACCAAUCUUGAGAAAUUAAGCUUCUCAAAACCCAAAGGGAGAAAGCUAAUUUGAAGACUUACAGUUCCAAUCCAUUACUAGAACUGUAAAAAUAUUUAGAACUUUUCAGAAGUUUUUCAUUUAAAUAUAUAUGAACAUGUCUAAAUAUGCAACUAUAUGCAUGAGAAUACAUACAUAAAACAAAGCAUACCAAUCUGCACACAUACAUAUAUGCAUGCAUACAUACAUACAUACAUACGUACAUACAUACAUACAUACAUACAUACAUACAUACAUACAUACAUACAUACAUACAUACAUACAUACAUACAAAAACACUCUAUUGUUGAUGUUGAAAUCCCAACGAAGGAGCCUUGGAUCUAGGUUAGAAACCAGCUCUUUAUUGACAAGAAAUGUUGAAAUAAAACCGAAUAAUGACAUGCAUGCAUACACACACAUACAUGCAUACAUACAUACAUACAUACAUGCGAUUCUCAAAAUGAUAUAGGGUUGGAGUUUGAUCAGGAUAAAUGUUGCUAUGUGGUUGUGAAAAGAGAGAAAACAGUAAACCAGACUACCAGCAUCUCCAUAAAUAGUUUAACUGUUUUUCGUAUACAGUUUUAUAUUUAAGAGGUGAGGAAUUAUGUACAUUAUUUACAAUUGACAGAUAUUUGUCCUCAUCUUGUUUGUUUUGAACACAAUGUUUCAGCUGAUAUACCCUCCAGCCUUCAUCAGGUGUCUUGGGGAAAUUUCAAACCUGAGUUCUCGUUCCUAAGGUAUUUUUUGAUGUUGUUAUUAUUAUCAUUAUUAUUAUUAUUAUUAUUAAGGACACUGCCUGGAAUCGAACUCGGAAUCUUGGGGUUAGUAGCCCACACUCUUAACCACUAAGCCAAUAAUAACAACAAUAAUAACAACAACAUCGAAAAAUACUUUAGGAAUGAGAACCCAGGUUCGAAAUUUCCCCAAGACACCUGAUGAAGGUUGGAGAGUAUAUCAGCCAAAAACGUUGUGUUAACAACAAACAAGAUGAGGACAAAUAUCCAUCAAUUGUAAAUAAAGUUUUUCCUAUAUCUGAUGAGGAAUCUUGCAAGUACCUAGUAGAAGAGGAAAACAUAUUUUACGAGGGUUACUUAUAACAAGACACAUAUCACUUAAGAAUAUUACAGCCAAAUAAGGAAAAUAUGGCCCUGAGAACUCUUUGCAUUAAUAAAACAAUGGCCCACAAUGUAUUUGCAGAACCAGUAUUCAUACCAACAUUUGGACUACUUGAUUGGAUGCUUGGUAAGAUCCAAGCCAUUGAUGAGAAAACCUCUAUCUAAAAUGAAAACAAGAGGUAGGCGCAGGAGUGGCUAUAUAGGCGCAGGAGUGGCUGUGUGGUAAGUAGCUUGCUUACCAACCACAUGGUUCCGGGUUCAUUCCCACUGCAUGGCACCUUGGGCAAGUGUCUUCUACUAUAGCCUCGGGCCGACCAAAGCCUUGUGAGUGGAUUUGGUAGACGGAAACUGGAAGAAGCCCGUCGUAUAUAUGUAUAUAUAUAUAUGUGAAAUAGAAAGAUGAAUAAUCUUGUUGCAGAUUAAUCAAAAGUUUAACCGAUACCUUGGUAGCAAAAAUCACAGCAGAAGACAGCACGGUUGGAGGUACAACCAUAUGGUGUUGCAACCGUGCGUUGGUGCGGAUAAUUGAAUAUUAAUAUUAUUAGUGAAUUGAAGAAAUGGAGUUGAACGAAGAUUGAACAAUAUAUAUAUGUAUGUGUGUGUGUUUGUGUGUCUGUGUUUGUCCCCCUAGCAUUGCUUGACAACCGAUAGUGGUGUGUUUACGUCCCUGUAACUUAGCAGUUCAGCAAAAGAGACUGAUAGAAUAAGUACUGGGCUUACAAAGAAUAAGUCCUGAGGUCGAUUUACUCGACUAAAAGGCAGUGCUCCAGCAUGGCCGCAGUCAAAUGACUGAAAGAAGUAAAAGAGUAAAAGAGAAUAAAGAGUAGAGGCUUAAACAUUGAUCCAGACUGACUUUGAAUUUGAUAUCCUAUCCCUUCAGCAACAUUUCUUAACUACCAAGAAUCAAACUCCAUCAUGAGACUUGGAAAGCAGUUCCUCCAGUAACAUUCUUUGUCUGAUAACCUUAAAUACAUGCCCAAAGAAGUUGCCCAACUCUACUGCAAUGUAUCCUCAAAUGAAAGGAUGAGUGUAUAUAAAGAGAAGACAAUACAUGAAUAUGUUAGGAUAAAGCUCCAGGAUAACAAUAACAUUGAUAAUCAAAGCAUUCCAUCAUCAACUCUCGUUUGAAUGGUGUGUGUUGCCAUCUAGGAACGGGAAAUAGCAAGCAAAGAUCUGAUGCACAAAAGGGACAGAGACACAGAAAAAUAACAAAAUGUGAUAACAAAUGCAGACUUUGUGGAGUUAACACUGAUGAUAUCACCCACAUCAUUUAAUUUGUUUUAGGCAAAUGCCUCAGAAUAUGCUCACAAAAAAUCCUGUGCUUCUUGUUGUUAGCCUCCACUUGCUUUUCUCAUCGCCAGCAUAAUCCUGUGGGAUGGUUAUAUAUGCAGAACUCCUUACAGCUUAGUAUAAAUAUAAUGAUGAUGAUGAUGAUGAUGAUGAUGAUGAUGAUGAUGAUGAUGAUAACUUGUGGAUGGAAAUUUCUAUACUCUAUUAAUGUAAACAAUACAUGUAUAAACUUAUAUGAUAUAUACAUACAUACAUACAUCAGUGAAAAAGAGAAUACCUAUGCUGAACUAUUGAGAAAUCUGCAGUUACUCUAUCCAGAUUACAAGUUCAGGUUUAUACCUGUAAGCAUUGUGGCCCUGGGAUAUGUAGCACACUGCCUAAAUACCAAACUUGAGAAAUUAGGCUUCUCAAAACCAGAAAGGAGAAAGCUAAUCCGAAGACUACAGACCUAGUCCAUCACUCGAUCUAUAAAAAUCUGUAAAAACUUUCCAGAAGUUUAUCAUCUAAAUAUAUAUAUGAGCAUGUCUAGUUAUGCAACUAUAUGCAGGAGAAUACAUAAAGCAAAACAUACAAAUCUGCACAUAUACAUAUAUACAUACAUACAAACAAACAAAAAUGCCCUGUUGUUCAAGUCAAAAUUAUGAUGAAGGAGCCUUGAAUCUAGAUUAGAAAUCGGCUCUUUCUCUAUUGGCAAGAAGUCUUGAAAUAAAACUAAACAAUGACAUGCAUACAUACUUACAUACAUACAUACAUACAUACAUACAUACAUACAUACAUACAUACAUACAUACAUACAUACAUAUGUGUGUGUGUAUGUAUGUAUGUCUUCUCUUUCUCUUUUUAAUUUAGAGUAAGUUUUGACUGGCCACCAACUUGACAGCAAGGUUGUGAAGGAAAGUAUCUUGAUUUUACUGUCAUCCUUUAAAUCUUAUGAAGGGUUUGCAGAUUUUUAUAGUCUCAAACAGAUAUCAUAAUCAUUUGUAGUGUAUGAAUUAAGAAUUUGCAUUCUCUCCCCAAGAGAGCCAUACUUUGCUCUAGGUGGGUUGGUAUGUAUCCUAUUGCUCCAAUAAUAAUAGGCAUCAAGUUGAAAGUGUAUUUCGGCACUGGAUUUACAAACUCCUUCUCAAUGGUCCAUAGAUGGUCUCUUUCUCUUGUAUUUUUCUAACCACAUUCAUAUCCAGGAGGCAACUGAUUUCCACAACAGAACAUCUCUUUUCUUUGUGGUCCCUCACGGCGAGAACUGCCCAGUUGUGUUUUAACCUAGUGGCUCUUUUAAUUUUCAAGUUCUACCUGUAUUCUUCUAACUCAUUGGUUUCAAUAUGGUCAACUUCAUAUGUUAUGUUAUCCCUGAGGGUCCAUAUAAGAUUUUGAGACACCACACAACAAAAUAGUAAAUUGGGGAUCCACAAUAAUAAUCUAAGGGUCCCUGGAAAAAUUUUGCUUUAGAUGUAUGUAUUGGCAUGUACUGCAAGAAACAGCUGGCUUCUUUCUUUAAUGUUUUACAUAGUUCAGUCUACAUAAGCUAAUGUGAGAAAAACAAAACAGGGAGUUUGAAAGAAGUUUCUAUAAAACUGGUUUUUAAAAAGCAAAUGUCUAUGGGGGUCCACCAGAAUAAAAUAGUAAUCAAAGGAGUCAAUAGACAAAAAAAAAUAUGGCUGAGAACCCUACUCUAUACUAACAAAUUUCUGUUAUUUCUGAAACCACACAUUCUAGAGCAACUGAUACAUAUUUCAAUAUCCUUUCUUACAGUACAAGUCUGGAUUAAGCAAUAGUUGAAUGAUACAAUUUUUAAAAGAAAUGCAUGCAAGCAGGUAAUUUAGUUUGGUAAUUACAUGUUAAGUAAUUUUGGAGUUUAGGUAGGUUUUCUUUGCCUUUAACAUCGGACAUCUAUUUAAAGUGGCAAUACAGUUAAAAAAAUACAGGGUUACAUUGAUGGAUUAUGAUAAAAAAAGCUUCAUCAAAACACAUGAAAAGCCAUCAUAUACACACACACACACACAUAUAUAUAUAUAUAUAUAUGGCCGUUGCCAGCCUUGCCUGGCCCCCAUGCCGGUGGCACGUAAAAAGCACCAUGCGUCCGUGGCCGUUUGCCAGCUCCGUCUGGCACCUGUGCAGGUGGCACGUAAAAAGCACCCACUACACUCACGGAGUGGUUGGCAUUAGGAAGGGCAUCCAGCCGUAGAAACACUACCAGAUCAGACUGGGCCUGAUGCAGCCUUCUGGGUUCACAGACCCCAGUUGAACGUCCAACCCAUGCUAGCAUGGAAAACGGACGCUAAAUGAUGAUGAAGAUGAUGAUGAUAUAUAUAUAUAUAUAUAUAUAUAUAUAUAUAUAUAUAUAUAUAUAUAUAUAUAUAUAUAUAUAUAUAUAUAUCAUAGCUGCACCGUCGUUGCAUGAGAAAAGCCAUUGCCAAAAAGACUUACUGAAAUGAUACAUUAUUGAUGCCAUGAGAUGACCUUAUAUGACUUUUAAGCCAAGGCCAAACUUUUACACAUUUUAUUACAUACUGGAUAACUGUGCUGGCUGGCAGGAGAAACAGGUGCCACCAUAGUACUCUUUUAGCAUGUCUUUUCAGACCUCCAGCUGAGAGGCACACCCCUCCACGUUUUACACGUUCUGUUGUGAAUUUUAAUAGUCACAUCACUGUUUAUAUAGCCAGUUCCAGGGAAAUAACUCUUAAAAGUAAAAUCGUGGUUGUCUCACAUAGGUCAUUGCUUUAUAUCAGCUUCACGUGCGUGCGCGCGUUCCGAAACCAGAUGUAUAUAUGCAACAAUGAUUGAUUGCGUUGAGAAAGAUAUAAUACUGGCUAGAGAUAAAAUAAGCCUAAACUCAGCUACUGGCCUUCAUGAACUCUCAGCAAUCGCUUUGAAAACAUGUAAACGAGCCCAAACAAAGCGACUAGUUUCUCUUCCAGAGUUUCUGUUGUAGUGGAAAUGGUACAGCCCCUCCCACGGAACUAGUGGAAUGAAACAGCCUCUAUAAAGUGAGACGACGUCAACCAGUACAGUGGGGCCGUGUGUCAGUCGUUGUAUGAGUUCUCAGCUGGAGUUGUGUUAGUUACUUGUUAUAGUCGAGUUCAAGUCACAGUCAAGAGAGACAGUUCAAGUUCGGUGUCUUGCAGAGCUAUCAGCGACAGCUCGAUAGACGAAGUGGUGUAUUACCAUUCUGGUAUAGAAGAGAUACACUGUAUCGAAUACCAAGGAAAUAUCGUGGCUACUAGAACUGAUACAACAACUACAUUCACAACAGUGACCACACAUUAUAAUUGUGGAAAAUACCACAUCAUAACAGUUUUCUUGCAAGUGCCAAGCUUAUAUGGUGGCAUAAUAUAUAUAUAUUGUCAAUAAAAUAUAUAUAUAUAUAUAUGUAAGUUUCAUUAAAAAAAAUCUUUUGAUUUAUAUAAUGGUAAUAUAUUGGUAAAAUUCUUGAUUAUAAGUGUAUAUAUUAAAAAUAUUUGGGUUCAAGAUAUUCUAUUUAGAAAUAUGUAUCAAAAAGUUGAUCAGUAAAUUUUCUAAAAUUGGUCUGUAUAAAUUUAAAAUUGGUCAGCACAAACCUAAAAUUGGUCAGUACAAAUCUAAUAUUGGACUGUACAAAUCUUAAAUUGGAUGGUACAAAUCUAAAAUUGAUCAGUACAAAUCUAAUAUGGUCAGAACAAAUCUAAAGGCUAAAGCAAUGCAGUUGCUUCAAAUUAUAGGACUAUCUCAUUGACCUCACAUAGCAAAAUCAUGGAAUGGAUAGUCAGAAGAAAAUAACCAUACUGCUAGAAGAAAAUGACAAGUUUUCCAACCUAAAGAAGCUUUCUGACACAACUCCUAUAGUUAUUCAAAAACUUAAACGAGGAUAAGGAUAUAUCUUGAUUUUGUGAAAAGACAUAAAAAUCAAUAGAAACUGCAGUUGUGAUCCCUGUGCCAGUGGCAUGUAAAAAGCACCACCUGAAUGUGGCCAAUGCCAGUGCCACCUAGACUGGCUUCCGUGCCGGUGGCACGUAAAAUGCACCAAUCCGAUCGCAGCCGUUGCCAGCCUCGCUUGGCACCUGUGCAGGUGGCACGUAAAAAGCACCCACUACACUCACGGAGUGGUUGGCGUUAGGUAGGGCAUCCAGCUGUAGAAACACUGCCAGAUCAGACUGGAGCCUGGUGCAGCCUUCUGGCUUCCCAGCUCCCCGGUCAAACCGUCCAACCCAUGCUAGCAUGGAGAACAGACGUUAAACGAUGAUGAUGAUGAUGAUUCAAUAAAAGUUGAACAGAAAGUGAUAUGUCAUCAACUGCAUCAUCUCAACAAAGCCAGAAAACCAGUGGAGUGGCUGUAUGACAUUCUAAAAGACAGAAGCUAUGAAGUAGUAGCAACAAGAACAUCUCCAAAGAAAUUUCCGAAUAACAAGAAGUCUCCUGCAGGGCACUGUCUUGGGACCACUGCUGUUCAUAGUGGUUUGCUCAGAUAUCCCCUCAGCUAUUCAAUCAUCCUCACUAGCUAUGCACAUUGUACAAAAGUAUUGCAGGUAAAAAAAGAACUUUGGGGAUGCUACAUACCUGUAAUAUAAGUGGGCUUCAGAAAAUAACAUGCAAUACAAUGCUAGAAGGAGGGCAGACAAAGUACACUGGAUCAGGAGGGAUUGCAGUCACAGAGUCACAACCAGUAAAUGCCCUGAACAUUUAACUUGAGUAAUGAUGAAUUUUUUUUUCAUGUACAUAUUGCUCAGAUUGCACCAAAAUAUAGACAGCUAGAAGGACUAGCACCAAACUUUGGCAUUGAAAGCUAUACUAAACAUUUAACAUACUCUCAUGGCCUAUAUAUAUAUAUAUAUAUAUAUAUAUAGUUGAAAUAGGAAAACAAAAGAUGAAAACAGGUGCAUGAACAACAAGCAGGUGUAUUAGUUUGAUACUGGAGAAAAUGAAAAAGUCUUUUGUUUCGAGCCUAUGCUCUUCAACAGAAAGGAAUAAGAGAGUCACUGCGUGGCACCUUGGGCAAGUGUCUUCUACUAUAGCCUCGGGCCGACCAAAGCCUUGUGAGUGGAUUUGGUAGACUGAAACUGAAAGAAGCCCGUCGUGUAUAUGUAUAUAUAUAUAUAUAUAUAUAUAUAUAUAUAUGUGUGUGUGUGUGUGUGUGUGUGUGUGUGUGUGCAUGUGUGUUUGUGUGUCUGUGUUUGUCCCCCUAGCAUUGCUUGACAACCGAUGCUGGUGUGUUUAUGUCCCUGUCACUUAGCGGUUCGGCAAAAGAGACCGAUAGAAUAAGUACUGGGCUUACAAAGAAUAAGUCCCGGGGUUGAGUUGCUCGAUUAAAGGCGGUGCUCUAGCAUGGCCGCAGUCAAAUGACUGAAACAAGUAAAAGAGUAUAUAUACGCAGAGUAGACGAAACAGAGACAACAGAAGAAGGGGAAUAUUCCUUUUGUCGUAUGUCUUGUACUCUGUUUUUAUGUUGUUUGAAAAAAAAGAAAGUUCAUUUCCAUAUUUUUGUUUUUAUGUUUUCGUUUCUCAUUGUGUUCAACGUUUUUUUUUGGUGUCCUGUACCCAUAUAUGCAUGUAUAUAUACAUAUAUAUGUAGGUAUGUACAUAUAUGUAUGAAUAUAUGCAUAUGUUUAUAUAUUAUUUAUGUUAUUAUAUAUAUAUAAAUAUAGAUAAAUAGAGACAGACAGACAGAAAGACAGAGAGGAGGAGGGGAGAUAGAUGCAUAGAUAGACAGAUACUGAUGUGAGUAUGUGUGUGUUUGUUGAGUUGAAAUUAAUUCAUGCAAGAUUUCAUAGCUCUAGCAUCAUUCCUCUAGCAUCAUAUACACACACACACUCACACACACACACACACACACACAAGCAGGCACACACACACGCGCACGCGCACGCACAUGCACACACACACACACACACACACACACAGUUUAACAAUCUGAAUGGAGGCAAUGCAAGCAGAAACUAGAAGAACAUAAUUAAUAACCAUACACAAAAUCAAAUAUAUACAUGUAUUCAUCUACAUUUAUAAAACUGAUAUAAAAAUUCCAAAUAUAUAAAUAUAAAAAUAUAUAUAAAUAAAUAAAUGUCGAUAUGAUACAUAAAACAAAGUGAAUUUUAGAUUUAAAAGUUACAAUACAUUAGUGUAAUAAAAAUUUGAGGUGUUAAAACAUUAAAAGGACGUACUAAAAUACCACGAAAGUAUUACAAAAAUUUUUUGUUCCAUCUACGGGCCGUUUCAGAGACAUGCCAUGAUAUAUUUACUUGGCACGUCUCUGAAACAGCCCAUAAAUGGAAGCAUGGAAUGCUUCUGACAACUAACAACUAACAACUGAUGACAACUAACAACUGAUGCCUGCAGUUUGUUCCAUACUUCAGCAACCCUUAGCGUGAAAAAAUGUUUCCGAAAGUCAUGGGAGCUGUGCUGUUUUCUGACUUUGUAAACACAAUCCAUGGGUGUUAGACAGGUCAAGUUUGAAAAGGUGCUCAGAGUUAUUGUUAGUAAGACGGCUACUAAUUUUAUGGGUGUCUGCCAAGUCAGUUGCCAGAUGUAGUUUCAAUGUAUCCAUGUUGCCAUAGUUUCAAUGUAUCCAUGUCCAGGGAAGUAAGGCGUUCAGAAUAUGGCAAAUGCCUGAUGGAGGGUAUUCUCUUAGUUGCACGUCACUGAACGGUUUCCAGACGAUUAAUAUCCUGGGCAAGAUAGGGGUUCCAGACCGGUGAUGCAAAUUCCAGGUGAGGCCACACCAUAGCUAUAUAAGGCCUCAGAUAGACAGCCGGAGAAUGGCUCACAAAGGACUUGGUAAGUGAUGCCAAGACACCCUCAGCCUGCUUGGCAAUUUUAGCAAUGUGUUUUGUCCAACGCAAAUCGCUGUCGACAAUAAUGCCCAGAUCACGUUCACAAGAAGACUUUCUGAGAUUAGUGUUGUGGAGGGAGUAAGUAGAUGCUGGGUUUUUCCUCCCAAAAUGCAUGGUGGUACAUUUGUCUACAACCUGCUUGAGUUGCUAGUCCAUGAUCCACUGCUGCAUUGUGUCCAGGUCUGAUUGUAAUAAAGAUCUAUAGUGUACAGGAUCUGUCCUCUUUAUUUUGUAGUACAGCUUGAUGUCAUCUGCAUAUUUCAGCACUGUGGCACUCUUUGUUUCCCUUUAUGGUAGAAUGAAUUUAGGGAAAAAUGUAUAUCUAAAACCUACUAUAAUUUAGAGAGUAGCAGAGGAAAAUAAUCAGGUGUCAAGAAAAAGGAAUGGUGAGAUAGUUCCUUUUUUUUUGACACCCACUAUUUUCCUCUGCUACUCUCUAAUUUAUAAAAGGCUUUAGACAUACAUUUUCCCCUAAAUUCAUUCUGCCAAAAUAUAGCAAAGGGAAACAAUGUAAUUAUUUUGGUUUCUAGUAGUAAUGUAAAUUGUGCUAAAAGAAAUGGUUUAUCCUUUAUAUUGGAAAUCUAUAUAGUUGUCUGCUUCUGAGGAGAGCAGUUGUGUUCAAACUGAUUUCAUGUUUUCAUUGAUCGAUUUAAUGGAGCCACUUGAAACAGCUGUAAUUCAUUAAUACCUGGACAUCCUUGUUACUUAUUUGCUUUUUUUUCAUAUAACUGUAUAUAUAUAUAUAUAUAUAUAUAUAUAUAUAUAUAUAUAUAUAUAUAUAUGUACCUAUAUAUAAUAUACAUAUAUAUACAUAAUGUGUGUAUGUAUAUAUAUAGUGUCAAUGUGUGUGUAUGUAUACAUAGAUAAAUAGAUAUGUAUUUGUAUAUGUAUAUGGAUGGAUGGAUAGAUAGAUAGAUAGAUAAAUAGAUAGAUAGAUAGAUAGAUAGAUAGAUAGAUAGAUAGAUACACACACACAUACAUAUUUACAUACAUGUAUAAAUACAUUUAUAGGCACAUAUACAUACACAUGCACACGCACAAGCACACACACACACACAGCACACACACACACACACACACAAACACAAACGCACACACAUUUAUCUAUAUAUAAGGGUAAGACCCAAGGAUCCAAGAGUAGGAAGUUUGUAAGCUUCAAGCAUGACAGAUGCAGAAAAUAAAAAGUGGACAGUGUACGGUCAGGAACAACAACAAUUUAUUGGCGAUAAAGGCUACACACAUUUUCCCAUAUUGAAGUUACAAAGAAGUGCAAUAAGCUCAAAGUUUCUGUAUAGCUCAUGAUUAGCAUAUAGAGUUGUUAGAAAUGUGAAUAAAAAUUCAAAUUGAGGGAGUGAAAUGGGUAAAAUCCAGGCUACAUGUAUUUCUUAGCUAGCUGAUUCUCUGAUGUAACAAUUACACAAGGGGUACUCAGCUGAGCUAUUCAUCAGGCCAAGAACAAUUUAAUUUCAUAAAGGUUACAUUGUUGCUCGGGAAUCUCAAGUGACAAUGUAACCUUCAUGUAAUUAAUGUAUUCUCAGCCUGAUGAAUUGCUUAGCUGAGUACAACAACAACCUAAAUAACAUUAAUAAAUUAGAUAGGGUCAUAUAUAGCAAAUCAUUUUAUCUAGGCGCAGGAGUAGCUGUGUGGUAAGUAGCUUGCUAACCAACCACAUGGUUCCGGGUUCAGUCCCACUGCGUGGCAUCUUGGGCAAGUGUCUUCUGCUAUAGCCCCGGGCCGACCAAUGCCUUGUGAGUGGAUUUGGUAGACAGAAACUGAAAGAAGCCUGUCGUAUAUAUGUAUAUAUAUGUAUGUGUAUAUGUAUGUGUGUCUGUGUUUGUCCGCCUAGCAUUGCUUGACAACCGAUGCUGGUGUGUUUAUGUCCCCGUCACUUAGCCGUUCGGGCUUACAAAGAAUAAGUCCCGGGGUCGAUUUGCUCGACUAAAGGCAGUGCUCCAGCAUGGCCGCAGUCAAAUGACUGAAACAAGUAAAAGAGUAAAAGAGUAAAAGAGACACAGGCUAGUGGUCUGCCAGGAUAACAAUCCCAUGAUAUCAAAUUUCAUUUAGUGGGUGAAAAUUUAUUUAACCACAAGACAACAAUAGAAAGGAAAUAAAACUAUAAAAUUGAUAACUUUCACAAUUACCCAACAGCCAAAGGAUAAUGAGGAUUACUCUUGAUGUUUGUAGCGGUGGGGUAGUGUGCUAAAUGGUAGGAUAACUUAAAUCACUUCCCAGCUAAUACACCUGCUCCAUGUGACCUUAGAGUGUGUAAACAAGGGAAAAGAAAUGCAUGUGCCCUAAAGAGUUAAAGUAAAAAUUAAGAAUUUAGAGUUUAAUUAAAAAGUGGUCAGGAGAAUUAUAAACUAUAUUAGUUAAAACAAAUAUGGCUUAGGUGAAAUGAAGAUAAUUAGAAAAAAAGGGAUAAUAUUUAAAAAAUCAAAUAGAGAGACUAUGAAUAAAUAGAUAAAUAAAUAAGAUGUAAAGACAGAAAAUUAAUACUUAGCUAGUGAUAUACAGGGUGGACCAAAAUGAUCUGACACAUUUGGAGGCUUAACACAAAAUAAGAAAUAAUGAAAAGAAAAAUUUUAUUUUCUGAAUGCACAUAUAAUGCCAUUUUAUUUCAUUAAGUUUUAAAAAUUAAAUCAGCUAAAUGCUUCCCAUCAUUGUCAACACACUGUUGGAGACAUUCAUGAAAGUUAUCGAUAACUCUAUGGAUCAUUUCUUCUGGAAUGGUUGCUAUUUCUACACAAAUUGCCCAUUUUAAUUCAUCAAUAGAUCGAGGGCAAUGACUGAAUACUUUUGAUUUUAAGUAUCCCCACGAGAAGAAAUCACAUUUCACCAUUCCAGAAGAAAUGAUCCAUAGAGUUAUCGACAACUUUCAUGAAUGUCUCCAACAGUGUAUUGACAAUGAUGGAAAGCAUUUAGCUGAUUUAAUUUUUAAAACUUAAAAGUAAGAAAACAGCACAGCUCCCAUGACUUCAGGAAACAUUUUUUCACGCUGAGAGUUGCUGAAGCAUGGAACAAACUGCCGGCAUCAGUUGUUAGUUGUCGGAGCACUGCAUCCUUCAAAACUUCCAUGCUUCCUGAGAUUCGCCAAUACUACACUUGAUUUUCUCCCCUCCAUACACACACAAGCAUGUAUCUGACUCAUACAUUGUUCGUUUUCCAGACAUUUCUACAUUACUGCAUGUACUUUAUAUGCACUUUCUGACAAGUUGUGGUGCACCUGAGCACUGUAUACAAUUAAUUUCAUUAUAUCAUUAUAUUAUAUAUAAAAUGGCAUUAUAUGUACAUUCAGAAAAUAAAAUUUUUCUUUUCAUUAUUUCUUAUUUUGUGCUUUUAUUAAGCCUCCAAAUGUGUCAGAUCAUUUUGGUCCACCCUGUAUAACUAAUAGCCCUAUGAAGGAGACUGAGGGUAAAGUGAUUAGGGUAAGUAAUUAAUGUAUUGCAUUUAACAAUUAAAACAAAAUUACAAAAUUGAAAUAUUAAAUUAAUUAAGAUCAGGAGUCUAGAAUCAGUGAAGUUAAUAAAUAAAAUAGAUAUUAGUUAUGUAGUAUGUUGCUAAAUCCGGGUGGAUGUGUCCUAAAGAGUUAAAGCAGAAACUAAGAAUUUAGAGUUUAAUUAGAAAGUGGUCAAGAAAAAUAUAACUGCAUAAACUAUGUUAGUAUGAAUAAAUAUGACUUAUGUUAAUUGAAGAUACAUAUCUAUCUUCAUCAUCAUCAUCAUCAUUGUUUAACAUCUGCUUUAUAUGUUGGCAUGAUUUGGAUGGUUUGACUAAGAACUGGCAAACCAGGCUCCAAUCUGAUUUGACAAGGUUUCUACAGCUGGAUGCCCUUCCUAACCCUGGCCACUCCAAGAGUGUAGUGGGUGCUUUUACAUGCCACCAGCAUGGGAGCCAGUCGGGGGCACUGGCAUCAGUGACACUCGAAUGGUAAAUUUUACAUGCCACUGGCACAGGUGCCAGUCAGACGGCACUAGCAUCAGCCACACUCGAAUGGUACUUUUUACAUGCCAUCAGCACAGGUGCCAGUCAGCCAGCACUGUCAUCAGCCAUGACUACGAUUUCACUCAGUUCAACAGUUUCUUCACAAGCAUGGCAUAUUGCCCAACGAUUGAAGGGUUCUUUUGUAAAUGGGUUAACUAUGUGACACUGGCAUUGACCCAACUACAAUCUCACUUAGCUUGCUGGGUCUUCUCAAGCACAGCAUGUCUCCAAAGGUCUUAGUUGCUUGUCAUUGCCUCUGUGAGGCCCAACAUUUGUAUGUUAUGCUUCACCACCUCAUCUCAUGUCUUCCUCAGUCUACCUCUUCCACAGGUUCCCUCCAAUGAUAGGGUGUGACACUUCUUCACACAGCUGUCCUCAUCCAUAUGCAGCACAUGACCAUACCAGCACUGAAUAAUACCAAUGGUUCUUUACUUAGAAGACUAUUUUGCAAUGAAUUCCCACUAAAUAUCAACUUCUGCAACUUUUAGACACCCCGUUUUACUCGUGCUCCCCCAUUUACUCUAUCAGUUAUGCUCCCCACUUUUGAGGUAUUGAAAUUUAAAAUAUUUGGGAUAUUGAAAUUUAAAAGAAAAACACCAACAGUAAUAAUUGUUAUAUUUUCAGUAUUAUUAGCAACACUGACUAAACUAUUGGUAACGCUUUAAUCAUAAAGGUUUAAAAAAACCCAAUUCUUUUACUAGUUUCGUUUCUGCAUUUGGUUUGCAAGAGUAUUGAUGAGAGUUCAAGUGUUGAAACGAAUCUUGUCAUAUCUUGGAAGGGUCAUUACACCAAUAGCAAUAAACACACACACUGGUUGAAUAUCACUACUUUAUUGUUAGUCAAUAGGUUAAAUAUCUAACCAGCUAAUUGAUUGUUUGUUUAAUGUUCUGGUUAAACAACGAAAGUCUGAAGAGAGAGGACAAGUCAUUGAGAAGUCAUGAAUAGCAAUGAAAGAACUUUGAAAAAUAAAUAACCAAUUGACUGUUUAACCAGCUCAUUAAACAAACAGUCGAUUAGUUAGCUGGUUAGAUAUUUAGCUAAUUCACUAACAAUAAAGAAGUGGAAUUGAACCCACGUAUGUGUUAUUAUUACUGGUGUAAUGACCUUCACAAACACAAGAUUAUUACUAGUUAUUGUUAUUAUAAUUAUAUUUAUUUUAACAGCCAUAACCAUAAUACUGUUUAUUACAAUUAGUAUAAAUAAGAUAUUUGCCAGUACUUUAUUAAUCAAAUAAAAAGCUUUACAGUUACAAUUUAAAUUGAUAUUUUGGGCCCACGGCUAUAGUAGGAUACAUUUGCCCAAGAUAUCAUUCAAGUUUUUUUUUACUAUAGCCUAGGACUGACAAAUAAGUUUGGUUACCAGAAACUGAAAGACACCAGUUAUGUGUGUACACAUAUUCAUAUCUGUGUGUGUGUGUGUGUGUGUGUGUGCAUGUGUGUAUUAGGGUGGAGCGAAAAAUGUAACUUUCGAAACUGGUAACCAAGAAUCGAUAUUUUGUUGCAAAUUAGAAUUAAAAGAAAUGCAUAUAAAGAACUUUGCAGUUAAAUUUUUUUUCAGGCUCCACAAUGCAAUUGAAAAUUUUAAAAAUCGCUAUUUUUGGUCAAAUUUUGAAUUUCAUGGAUUAUAAGUCAUAACAAAUACACGUUUCUACAUAGCAGAAUGCUAAACAGUACAAAUAGUAUCCUUAAGAGGUUGCAUACCAAGUUUGAAUACAAUUGACUAAUAUUUUGAGGUUCUGCACUGACUAUAAAGAGAACGGAAGGGUGAACUGCUCUCCAGUACCGCUGCAAUAGUCGUUAUGUGUGGGUGUAUGUUGUACGUGUGUGAAGUUUUCUGGUUUGUACCUUGACUUUAGGCCAUUGUAUUAAAAUUAAUGAUCGUGUUAAAUUUAGUCUUGUUUACAUUUAGUGAUGACUCAUAAGCCAAUAACAGGUCAUGAUAUUGAAUGCCGAAUAUUUGGUAUUCCAUGUGAUCUUAACGAGCGAGUUUUGCCAACUUACAAGGAUAUACUAACACCAACUACUUUACAGAGUGUACUGGGUGCUUUUAUGCAGCACUAGCACAGGUGCUUUUUACACAGCACUAGCACUUACAAGCCCAAAAGAUUAAGGAUGCUCAACUGGUGGGGGUUGCAAGGGACAAGCCUGCAUGCAAGGGCAACCACGCUUUUACUUAGCUUGACAUGUCUUUUCAAGCACAACAUCUAUUUUCCAUGCUGGUAAGGUGCAUUCCAGGGUUUUGAGACUUUCUUAGAAAAAGUAGUAAUAAAUGUCCAAGAUUACUGUAAUUUUUGUGUAUCAUUACUAUACAUCUAAGAAGCCAACCUGCCAAUUCUUGUUGCCCCAUUGAAGUAGAUACCUGUAGGAGCACUUUGAAAACACACCCUACCAAACACUGCUUGUCACAUCUGACUAGUUUGCAGAAUGCAGUCAGGACAUUUAGAAACUUUAUAUAAUGAAGUUUUGUAUCAAACUGGAAAAAUAAUAUUACAGACACUUACAGAGUUGGUUGAGAAAAUUCAUAGUUUUCUGAAUGAAGACUGCCAUAUGUCUAUAAAAACAGUUUGAAGUUGGUGUCACAACUGUACACAAUUAUUUAUGCAAAGUUUAUUUCCAGGGUGCUCAGUGAUGAGAAUCCUGGCAACCAACUACUUAAUAGAGAUGGUCAUUGAAACUGUCCCUUAUUCUCCCUACAAUCCAGAUCUUGUUCUCUGUAGCUUUCGGUUGUUCCCCAGGCUGAGGGAGAACUUCAGAGGCAGUCCGUUUUGAAGGUAGAGGAUGCUGUGACAAGGGUCCUGGACACCUUCGCUUUGGGAAAUUUCCAUGGAGCCAUCACAAAGUGGCUGAAGUGCUACAAGUGUAGGAAAGUCAGAGGAUCCUGUGUCUCUCCUGAAAAAGUCUACAAACUUCUGGGAUACACCUUGUACAUCAUCAGCACCAGAAGCAGCAGCAUUUAGCAUCUGUCUUCCAUGCUACCAAAGGUUGGACAGUUUGACAGGAGUUAGUAAAUGGGAGAACUGCACCAAAUUCCACUGCUUAUUUUGGCUUGGUUUCUAUGGCUGGAUGCUAUUCUUAAUGCCAACCACUUUACAGAAUGAGCUGGGUGCUUUUUACAUGGCACCAGCACCAGUGAGAUCACCAAGGAGCCUGCAAGACAAAGACCCUUUGAAAAUGGGUCAAUAUUGAAGAAGGUGGCUUUGUGCUAGGUGAUGAGAUGUUAGAGUAUGACAGAGGAACUGAAACAAGUAGAGGAGAUACAUGGUUAUCCCAGUCAGAAAGAGAGAAAGAGAGAGGGAGGAGAGAGAGCAAGAAUGAGAGAAAGUGAGAGUAAGAGAGACCAAGCAAGAGAGAGAACAAGACUGAAAGUGAGUGAGAGAGAUGGUGGUAAUGUGCCAGGACAUGCUUCUAAGGUACAAGAAUGAGAAUAUAAAUGGGAUGGUAAACGACUGUCCGGGGUGCAUGAGUAAGGAGUUCACAUGAAUGCAAAGGGGUGGGGCGGAGUAAUAUUAUUCAUCAUAUGAAAUAAUAAAAAUAAAUAUAAUUUAAUAAACCAAAAAAUAACGACAAAAAAAACAAAAUAUAACUGAUAAAAUGAUAGUAGAUAUUUUUUCUUCAUUUGAUGAUCAUAAUUCAACAACCUUAUACCUUCAUUCUCUUACAUGAAUUCUAUCCUUAUGAUCUCUCUUUUUUAUUAAUUCUUCAUUCUGAAUUUUCCCUUCAUUUUUUAAUUCCUCUCUAAUAAUCGAGUGGGGAAACCUGGGAAUGUAGAGAGGAUGGCAACAGGAUGGCAAUGAUACAGUUGGCAGGGCAGGAAGGACAGAAUUGGGCAGUAGGAGUGGGGAGGGGAAGUUAAGUAUAGUGCAUGAAGGAGGGAUGCAUUUUGGUUUAUUGGGGUGUGAAAAACUUAAUGUUAUAUGUGGGUAGAACACACAGCACUUCCCAGAACUCACACACACACACACAUUGCCAAGUGGUUAGGGUGUUUCAGUUCCUGGAUCAGAUGGUGCCUGAACAGAUCAUAUGAAAUUUGCUGAAGUGUAUGUGUAAAUAUAUAUCCAGGCACAGGUGUGGCUGUGUGGUAAGAAGCUUACUUCCCAACCACAUGGUUCCAGGUUCACUCCCACUGUGUAGCACCAUGGGCAAGUGUCUUCUGCUAUAGCCUUGGGCCAACCGAAGCCUUGUGAGUGGAUUUAGUAGAUAGAAACUGAAAGAAGCCCAUUGCAUAUGUGUGUGUGUAUCUAUGUGCAUGUGUCUCUGUGUCUGUCCUUGUCCCCCACUUCAACACUUGACAACCAAUGUUGGUGUGUUUAUGUCCCUGUAACUUAGUGGUUCAGCAAAAGAGAAUGAUAGAAUAAGUGCCAGGCUUACAAAGAAUAAGUUAUGUGGUUGAUAUCUUUGACUAAAAGGUGGCAAGAAAGAAUAUAUAUAUAUAUAUAUAUAUAUAUAUAUAUAUAUAUAUAUAUAUAUAUAUAUAUAUACAACAUGCAUACACAUAUUCUUUAUUCUUAUAUUUGGAGCACCACCUUGAAUUUUUAGUCAAAUGAACUGACACCAGUACUUCUUUUUUUUUUUCUUUUUAAGAAGUGGUGCUUAUUCUGUCAGUCUCUUUUACUGAACUGCUAAGUUAUGGAGGACACAAACACACCAGUUGUCAAGCAGUGGUGGAGAGACAAACGCAGACAUAAAGACACACACACAUUGAUAUAUAGACAUAUAUAUAUAUCAUCAUCAUCAUCGUUUAAUGUCUGUUUUCCGUGCUAGCACGGGUUGGACAGAAACGAGAUACCACUGCCCCGGGUGAGGCCCGAACUCACAACCUCUGCAUUAUAAGUACGGCGUGCUAAUAUAUAUAUGUAUACAACAGACUUCUUUCAGUUUCCAUCUACUAAAUCCACUCACAAGGAUUUGGUCAACCCAAGGCUAUUGUAAAAGACACUUGCCCAAGGUGUCACACAGUGGGACUGAACCUGGAAAUGUGAUUGGGAAGAAGGCAUCUUACCACACAGCCAUGUCUGUGCCAAUGUAUACAAUAGUACUCAUAUCGAGAAAACUUCAUCAGCCCGUAUGCCCACUUCAUCAUGAGCAGCUCACUAAUACUAAGGAUCACAUUCUUAACAUAGCUAAGACCACCCUGAUGACUGGCCUUUCUCUUUAACCCCCAACAAUUAUUGAUGCCCUACAAAGCUCAAGUGAGGACUAAAAUGGAUCAUUGCACUCACAUCUGGGACAGUGAUACUUCUGCACACACAAGCAUCAUAAACUACAUCCACUCAACUGAUUGGCAUGAAGUUACUAGCAGACACACACCAACCUCUAACUCACCAGUUGCACUGUCUUUUCUUCCUAGCUUUCCCAGAUUGCUGGCCCUUUGAAAUUCACCCCCUACUCCUAUCUUUCAGAUGUCAACAGACAAUGGUCCAAGAGGAACAUUAAUGGUAUCAAUCUAACCACUUUAAGAGAGUCUGCAAAGGCCAUAGGAACAACUUAUUUCACCAGACCCAGCAAACAGAAGAAAAAGACACUGUUCAACAACCAUAUUGUGGCCUCCCUUCCUUGUGUCGUCUGCUUAUUGUCAUGCUCAAUUCCAAAUGCCUGGAGGGGGUAAACCUUUAAAAAAAAUGAAAUUUUGAAGGACAAUUUUUUCUAAACGCCAAAUCUCUAAAUUUCAAAAUACCUAAUUCAAACAAGAUAAGAAUUUUUAUAAAAAAUUGAAAGCAAAAAAUUUGGAGUGGUUGAAUGGAAACUAAAAUUUUGAAAUGCUGAAUUUUGGGCAAAAUCGUCGAGUCCAUUGUUGAAAGCAUAAGAAUGUGAAAAAAAAAUUCGAUAACAAGGGUAACUAUUGGUAGAGUGAAUAUCCAACACGUCUGCUGGAAGUAAAAAGUAAAAAGUAUGUUCGAGGUCGGACAUCAUACAGAGGUUUUUUUUUUUCUAAAAAAUUUAAUAAAGGGAGAGCAGCAAAUAUUGACAAGCCAUGUUUGUCUAGUGAUUAUCGUUCUUUAUCCUGUCUCGUAUGCUUGAUGUACAAAUAAAAAUAAUAUUUUCUACUAUAAGCAGGAGGCCUAAAAUUUUAGGGAAGGGGACUAGUCGAUUACAUUGACCUCAGUAUUUCACUGUUACUUUAUUCAUCGACCCAGAAAAGAUGAAAGGCAAAGUCGACCUCGGUGGAAUUUGAACUCAGAACGUAGCGACUGGCGAAAUACCGCUAAGCAUUUCGUCCAGCGUGCUAACGAUUCUGCCAGCUCGCCAAAAUAACUUGAGGUUCGUAACGAGGUGAAAUAGGAAAUUAUCGCUUGGGUAUUCCUUUUCCCUAGCGACAUUAAUAAAAUAAAAUGACAACUCGAUCUUUCCAAAAAGGAGAAAAAUUCACAUGUUCGGAGUAUAUACAUUAUUUAUAACUUACAAAAUAUAAAGUUAUCUCAAAUAGACUACAAACCAGAAAAGUAUUUUAACACACGCACAAACGUGUGUAUGUGUUAAUUAUACUCAUAUAUGUUGAAAGCUAAUCUAAUGUGAACGAAGAAUGCAAAACAGAUACAUAUUUUUUUAGAAAAAAAAUACUCUUGAUCCUCGAGGAUCUACAAUACUCC
RNAcentral lists this long non-coding RNA (23011 nucleotides) under Octopus vulgaris (common octopus). Lineage: Eukaryota; Metazoa; Mollusca; Cephalopoda; Octopoda; Octopodidae. The record is from RNAcentral.